GUGAGUAGUUCUAGAGUUUGAUCCUGGCUCAGGAUGAACGCUGGCGGCGUGCUUAACACAUGCAAGUCGAACGAAGAAGAGUUGAAUGAGAGCUUCGGCAGGAUUUCUUCUCAUCUUAGUGGCGGACGGGUGAGUAACGUGUGGGCAACCUGCCCUGUACUGUGGAAUAAUCACUGGAAACGGUGACUAAUACCGCAUGUCAUCACCGGAGGGCAUCCUCUGAUGAAAAAAGGAGCAAUUCGGUACAGGAUGGGCCCGCAUCUGAUUAGCUAGUUGGUGAGAUAACAGCCCACCAAGGCAACGAUCAGUAGCCGACCUGAGAGGGUGAUCGGCCACAUUGGGACUGAGACACGGCCCAA
RNAcentral lists this ribosomal RNA (359 nucleotides) under uncultured bacterium. RNAcentral's name for it is "bacterial SSU rRNA". It matches the Rfam family "Bacterial small subunit ribosomal RNA", at positions 1 to 334 of the family's 1533-position model. The record is from RNAcentral.